Long non-coding RNA from Pseudopipra pipra, 11147 nucleotides. RefSeq lists it as uncharacterized. The transcript has 6 exons. NCBI's taxonomy places the organism in Eukaryota, Metazoa, Chordata, Aves, Passeriformes, Pipridae. The record is from RefSeq and is a predicted model, not a curated record.
CUCCAGGCAGUGCUACCAGCUUUUGUGAUUUUUGCCAGUCCUUCAAUAUUUGCUUUUUGUUCUCUUGGCUUUUGCUCCCAGAUUAACGCAAUGAAAUUCCUCUUUCCAUUGGCAAACAAGGGGAGGGGAACAAAAAGCACUUCAGGUGUCACGUCUACCUGGCAGGAAAGGAAAGCCAGGACCUGUGACCUGGGAACCCCCAGGCAGUUAGAACUGAACUCAGACACGUCACCCCCAUGAAAGCCACAGCUCCAUCACUGCACUGUGGAUACGGUUGUAAAUAAUCCCUGCUCAAUAAAUCAGAGUGACAAAUGACUGCUCUUCUCUCUCACUGACGCCCACCACCACCCAUGUAUUAUCUCAUCACUCUCUUUUCUUACAGUUGUGCCUUCCUGCCAAGAGCUCCUGGGUUUUUUUCUGCUGUUCCAGGGGAAAGCCUUCAGGGACUGUGCUCCCUUCCCCACACAGAGGUGCCCACAGCCAGAUGCAGCAGGGCCCAGACUGAGCCUGGGGAGGAGACCAACCAAGGCAGAUCUCUUCAGAUAGGCAGCUGACCUUCUUGGCAGCUCCAGCCUGAAGAGAACCAAGUGGAGAGGCCAGGGAUACCGUGCAAGAUCUUUCCUCAGCAAAUAUGGGGUGCUGCUUGGCUGAUGGAAAGGUGCCUUUAAGGAAAAGUGGUGUAACUCUCCUGAUGUAAUCAUUACAUAAGGAUUUCAUCGAAAUGACUGCUGUGUUUACAAAGGCAUCAGUAAACAGAGAAUACCCCUGACAGGUCAGAAGUGAUAACAUUUUCCUGACGCAGCACAUAAAUUGCCAAAGAGGCAGGUCUCAUCCCCACCCAGUGAGACAGAAUUGAAGAAAACCAUUUCUGCAGUUCCAGUUGGUGUCCUUCACUCCACCAGGAUUCUGUGGGAUGGAGCCCAACACCUUUUGGGAAGUCUCCUCCUGGUUGUCCUCAGCUCUCUGGCAGCUUCCCCUCUCUUCCAUGACCACGUGCCAGCACACGGCCUUUUGCACAAGCAGUUGCCAUCACCUGUGCCUGGAAAAGGAAUUCCCCCAUCCCCACAUCCCGCUGUGUUUGCUGCAGUGCGGGGUUUCCACCAAGGCAGGCCACAAGUCCUGCUGCUGGAAGUUGCAGUCCAAGGCUUCCUGAGAAGCUGAGAGCCUGGUCUCACACCGCAGCCCCCAAACCUUGCCAAGCUGUGCUCCCAGUGCCGCUAAUGGCUUAUCUCCCAGUUGCAACUACUUAGGAGGUGCAAGUGGAUUUGUACAUCUUGCGUUCCCUUGGAUGGGUCGGAGCCCCUGGCUGCAAUCCCAGCAUCUCCCACUGGCUGACUGGAGACAUCCAUCCUGCUCCAUCACAGGAGAGGCCAUUCCCUGUCCUGUUUUUAUCAGACGUGCCAGAGGCACUGAGAUAACAGAAAAUAAGGCAGAACUGGGGACCCCACCAGCCAUGAGUCAUGCUGGGGAUAUUUGAAUCAGUGGAGCUCCCCUCACUUCCAUAUCCCAAGUUGGGGGCAUGUUCAGCUUUUCCCAAAGCAUUUGUCCCACAAUAAGGCAGAGGAAUAAAUGUAUAUAAAUAAUGUAAUACCCACCACUAGUUCUUGAGAUACUUGAAUGGCAUUUCAAGGCUAGAGCUUGGGAUUUUGUUUGGAUGGAGAACAUUGCUCCUCUGUUGGCUUUUUUAUUUAAAUGAUCACAGAAUGAGAUAUUAAAGUCUUGUCUACACUGGAAAAAAAAUAAAAUAAACUGUUUUAUAUCACAAAACCAAAGCAGACAGCUUCAUGGAGACACCACUAUGUGACAUUAGAGUCUUUUAUUGAUUUCACUUAUGCCUCUUGGGAACAGCUCACAUUUAAAGUCAAAUAUAAAAGGCCAUUUUUAUACUGGAAUAUUUCUGUAGGGAGGAGAUGAUGGUGUAACUGCACCACAUAUAUUAUAAGGAACUUCUAACACUUUGAUAAGUAGACAAGGUCUUUGAGAUUGCAUGAGGGAGUGAUUCCAGAUAUGAAUCUUGGCCCAAAGACAGGCUUGAGGCUUAUUCCUACACAUCAGGGUUCAGGCCCUCAGCUGGGGUAAACUGAUGCUACUCCAUUGAUUUUUGAAAAACUAAACCAAUUUCCAGCAGAGGAGAAUCUGCUCCAGAUUUCCCAGCUGCCCUAUCAAAACUCUUCUCAGAGUAUUGACUGGGGAAAGAAAACAGGCCUCAGCCUGAUAUGAAAGAACAUAAUAGACCUUUAAUUUAAUUGACUUAAUUUUAUUGGCAGCCAUUGAAUGAUGAAAUGAAAACAGAUGAUCUGGAUGAAUAAGAAAAGGUUAGAUGGGAGUAACCCAUUAGUAAAUAUCAAGGCAUCAUCCUAUUGUCCUCAUUUAAUAAAGGAACGGGUCAGUAAGUAUCAUCAUAAACAUUUUUACAUUUUAGUGGAGAUUUAUUUGACAUCAUUACUAGCAGAGAGAUGGAUCCUUGGAACAGCAAGUGGUGAAACAGCCUAGCAGAUGAGAAGCUAGUUCCUUUAGCUGGCAUAAAGUAGCACAGCUCUACAGCUUGACCUAUUUAAUUCCACCUUUUUUAGCAGCUGAGCUAUUACUUUGGACUGCUGUGGGAUAUUUGAUUUUUUUUUUUUUAACUUUUCUUUGACAAAUCUUCCAAACUUACGUCUUCUCUUGCCUAUCUCUAAUGUCUUAAGCCACGAUGUAACUCGAUAUACAGUGUACCUGAGAGAGAAAGACUAGUAAAGGUUGUUGAGUUUCUUCUCAGGACCACCCCUUUCUCCACCCCAGGUCUUCCACUUUCCUCCUGGCCUGGGUGCUGCCAACCCCUGAUGAUUUGGUGUUGUGCUUGCUGGCUCCUGAGAGCCAACAGGUCUGCAAUGGCUGGGCUGUGAACCUGGGCAAUUGGAAGGACACAGGGCUCUGUGGAGUGGGCCAGCAAAGCAGGUUGCUCACAGCCCUCCAGGCCCAGGAGAUUGGGAAGGAGUGGGCUGCUUUGGAAAUAACCCUUCACAUGUCAGACCUCACCUGAAGAAGCAGCUCCUCCCCGUGCCUGCCCCAAAAUGGUCCCCUCUCAUGUGCCCUGCAGACAAGCCUUCAGCUGUCUGGGUCUGCCUGGAAGUCCAUCCAAACAGGAUUCAACAGCCACACUAAAACCUCAUCCAAGGAUGGGAGUACCCUGAGGGAUAGAACAAAUAUAAUACGACGUGAAAGAGACAAAAUUCAGAUGAGAUGCGGGAAAACCAGACAUGACUCCUCACUUAACUCUUUAUAACUUGCUAGUGGUGGGUGACAAUUGUGCAGGAGAAGAGUAAGUUUUAACAGAAGGUUGUCCAGAUCAACUUUGAAAAAAGCUUUUCUGAAUCUCUACCUGCAAAUAAAUAAUUAAAAAAGAAACCCUAAAAGUAAAAAAUAAAGAAAAGCUUAGAUUUUUCUUCAUUUUAGCUGGACUUGGUUAGAAAUGGCUACUCCAGUAGUGCAACAUUUUUUUGUGGUUAUAUAUGCUGGGGUUUGAUUUGGCCCUGUAGGUGCAAAAGCUGCAGAUUCAACCUUCUUGCAAAGAUGGGACCGGGUUGCCCAACCUGGAGCUCCCGUUGAGGAAAACAAGCCUCAUUUUCCAUGGUUGGAAGCUGUCCAAGGGUUGCCCCACUUCCCUUCACUUAUAGGGACAAGGCCAAACCCUGUAUGAGCACUCUGGGCACUCAGGAAAUCUCCAACACCUCAUACCACCACUCCUUGCAUGGGUUGUCUCAUUCCCAUCCCUGGGGACACACUUCCUGCUGCACACCUCCUGUGUUCAUCCUUUUGUCCAUGUUUCCAAGAGAGGGGUUGGUCCUGCCUUGACAACCCUGGGCCAGCUCCAUCAUUUUGUGCCAGCUGCUGUCCCCACGUGCCUGCCCCAGGUCUCUGCUGAGGAUUUCUGGCUCCAUGUAAGAGGCUGCUUGUCCUCUAGCUGGGAUGGUGGAUGCUGCUGUUGUUCCUAUCAGAGCUCCCCUAUGGCUGUGCAAAACUGGGAGUGCUUAGGCUGUUGCUGGUUUCUGCUCUGAUUUUCAUCUCCCCCCUCUCCCCAGCUGCACUAAAAUGCCCAAACCUGGCUCUGUGCUUUCAAGGCACCAUUCCCUUCCAAACCUGAGGGGCAAAAAGGCAGAGCCACCAGUGAGAGCACCAACAGGGCACCCAGUGACACCAUACGAGCUGGGCUGGUGCUCCAUGGAGCUGAUCCCACAGCAGCAACUUAUUUUCACAGUGUUCCUGCCCUUUCUCCCAAUAUCUUCCUCUUUGGCUUAAUGAGCAGAGCCCUCACAGGCUUCACUGUGUGCUUGCUCACAGAGAGCUCACAAAAAUCAGCGUUUAUCCUCUGGUGCUGUGACCAGGAGCGAGGAGAGGAUAUUAAAGACUCUGGUUUUGGGGAGACACACUGGCAGCUUCUCUUGUCCCAGAGCAGAGGCAAUUUACAGGCAUUGUCCUCUCUUCCUGAGGAGCAAGACUGCUGAGGGCAGAGUUAUGUGAUGUCAGGGUGGCCCCUCUCUUAUCAUAUUCCUGCAGGGCAAAGACCUAGCCACAGCAGAAUACACCUGCUGCUGUGUGACCAGGUGUCAGAACUAACCUGAAAAAUCCAGACACUUUCUCUAAAGAAAAUCCCAAAUCUAGCCCCUUCCUACCCCCUUUCAAAUAUUUUCACUUUUCAACAACAACAACGACAACAAAGAGGGGUGAAAAAAAUCAAGAUUUUCCUGGGAAACAAAUUCUCAGUGGAAUCUUUCUGUCUGGUCCAUAACAGAAUAUCUUGCAGGGGACUUCCCUGUUUGAAUCCCAGCACCAGCACCAGCCUGUGAUGCAGGAUGAGGACCACUUUGCCUGGCUCCCAGAGCUCCUGCCAUCCGACUGAGCUCCACAAACUGUGCCUGGCGCAGGGUGGGCUCCACAGAGGGAGGGCUGUUCCCUGCACUCUGCCCUGUUAUGGAGGAAAAGCAGUUUGUAUCUUAACACGUUUUGCCUGGCAGGCAUUUCAAAGGCUUCUCCUCUGAAUCAGGGCUGCAGGCACUGCCUACAUUUCCUUUUUACAAAACUGGCAGGUUGAGCUAUGCAAAAUUCCUUGAUCCUGUUUAUCUGCUGUCUCCUUCCCAAGAGGCACAAUGCUCCUGUGGCCUCUCCAGGCUUUCCUCUAUGCCAUUAACUGAGUUAUAUUUGCCCAUUUGAAGGACAAACACAGGCAGGGUGAGAGGAGGGCAACCAGUGGCCCUUGGCAUGCCAGACUUUGGGAUUUCAGUGUGCAGUAAGGCAGGUAAGUGCAAAGGUACCAUGCCCCUUUAGCCUUUCCUUGACUAAUUAACUCCCCAGCAAAUGAUUUGUGUCCAGAUCAUGUGUUGUGCACAUAAAAAUAAUCCAUUGCCCAGGAUUACAAGCCCAAAAUGAAGACCUUAAGGGAGGAGUGGUGCAGGUCACCCUCCUGCUUGCCUGUUCCUGCUGCCCUGUGGUCCUGAGGGGACAGGAGGAGCAUGGUUUGAGCAUGCAGGCAGGGGAGCCGGGGUUACCUGCCUUCUGGGCCAAAAUCUUGAUCUCAGUACCCUGAGGUGCUCAGUGCAGGGAUGCUGCUCUGUGCAGCUGAGUUUUGUAGUCCCAAGGGUAAUGAGAAAACGAAUCAGCUCUGUCCUUAACCUUUGCACAGGGAAAAAUCACUUCUGUGCUUACCAGGCAGGAGCUCUGGUCUGGUCCUCAGGGGUCCUGCUGGGCAGCACCAGGGUGUCCAUGGGGGACAGAGAAUGAACUGGGGGGCUGAGCAGGGGCCAAGGUGGGGUGGUGGCAGCAGGUCAGGUUGUAAAGGUAGGAAGCGAGGCACUGCUGCAGUGGAGGAAGAGGAAAUGCUCAGGCAAGGGCAGUAUGAAGGAGGAGGAGGAGGAGGAGGGAGGAGAGUCUAAUUUUUGAGGAAUGGCCCAAAACCUGUGCCACGGGGAGUGACGCUCACCUCCUCGGCUGGGACCGCAGAUCGACAAACCUCCACGUGGCUGCUGCGGGUCUGGAAGCCUUUGAGGUGCUCAUGUCUCACCCCACUGCCCUCCUGGCCUACAGGUGGUCUGUGCAGGCAUCCCUUAUCCCGUGAGGUCCACGGUGGAGGUCCAGGUGAUGAAUUUUGAGGUCCAGAUCCUGCUGACGAGCACAGUGGAGCACUCCCAAAUCAGGGCUGGUGGCACACGCAGGUGCACGUGGUGCUCAGCGAGUGUCGGUGCCGAAAUCUUGACUUUGCAACCUGAGUGGUGUCCUAGCAAAGUUUGUGUGUGGGUAUUGACUGAGCCGGGAUCCUGCCUGGAUAUGAUUCACCUUCCUUCCCCCUCAAGGGAGGUACAUUUGGGAACCUAUCACCAGGCUGGCAGCAGCUCUGAUGAAACACUGACUGUCUUCUCGUGGGGCUAAGGAGGGAGGCUACCUCAAAUACGUUUCUAAAAUCAGCCUCUUUCUGUUAUUUACGACAUAAUUUUGCGUAACGAGCGUUGCUCAUGAGCCUGUUCUCUGGGAUGCAAAGUGAAGGACCAUAUGUCAUGGUUUGGACUGCCAACACAUCAACAUUGCAGUCGUUUGCAGACUGUUUCAUAUUUCUUUGAUUUGGGAAUGUGUGUAAUUAGCUCCCUAGAACAGCCGGGUGGAGGAAAUGCGGUCUGUUAUUUAGGCAGAAUUAACAUCCUUGUUUUCUGUAUUGUGAUCCUUGGCUUCCCAGCACUGCUGCCAGAGCAGUGCUGAGGCAUUCAUUCCUUGAACCUGCCUUGGUUGCAAAACUAUUUCUGCUCCUUUGCUAGGCUAUCCCGAGGACCCACAACUGGUACGAGACGUGCCGAUGCUGUAAUUAGUAAAUAUCCACCGCAAGCGACAGCAAAAGAUUUAUAGCCACCACUGGAGCUUUCAGCAAGAGCAAAAGCAACAAAGCACUUAUGGUCACCACCAGCACAAGGGUUUGCUGUGUUUUUCCCCAGCCUCCCAGCAGUGUCCAGCCAGCAUUUCCUACCCUUUGUGCCGCAGACCUGGUGAAUAAAUCUUUACUGACCUGUCGUGGCAAGAAGCUGUGUAUGAAUGUGCUGGUGGGGAAAGAGUUACGUUAUUUUAGCAGGUUAACAAACCCGUACAGGCUGUGUGCUGUUAGCAUUUGGCCUCCUACCAGGCAUAUGAUCAUUCUGUUACGCUUUCCUUUCCUAUUCCGGUGGCUUGUGCAGGUUGGUUUUUGGCAGUGCCUGUAUCCAACACAAAAAGCAGGAGGAGAGCACCCAUGUCGAAUGGCCUUCCGCUCACUCGUGCUUCUGAGGCAGGAAAGGGGUCUGCCCCCAGGGACAAAGGGCAGGCAAUGAGAGGCAAGGAUAUCAAAGAUGAUUUCGUUCCCACAAGAGUUGCUCUGACCAGGCAAAGAAGAUAAUUUAUCCUACUUACGAGCAAAAGGAGAGCUCAUUUCAUGCCAUUGCAAGUAGAAUGUGUCCCAAACACACAGACCAGCAUGACAGUGUGUCUAGUGCUUGACUGGCCUCAAAGUCCACAACCAUAUGAGCUUGGCCAGAGCUAUUACUGGUGUUUGGACACCUCCCUCAUCCUCUUUCUUCCUCACCCCUGAAGAGGCUUGUGCAGCCAUGGGUUCUCUGUUUCUUGGUAAAUGGUGAGUUUAUAUUAGUCCCUCAAAUAGGAAAAAUUCUCUUCCUUGUCUGACUUGACAAACUCUCACAGGAAUGAAGUUGACUUUGACAUCAUUGGCUCCUAGUAAAUUUAAUCAGAACUGGCCAAUAAGUUCAAAAGUUAUUAAAGUCAGGGGGAGGGGGUGGGAGUGUUUUGUUUCCCUAGGAAAAUAGGCAGAAAGAGAGAGAGGGUGUGUGUGUUAUAGAUGAAAAAUGGAAAUGACUAUUUGCAAUCCUAGCAUAUCUAUAUAUGUUAUAUACCUAUAACUUAUCUCCCUUUCCAUUUCUUCUCUUCCACAUGUAAAACAAAUCUGAUCAUUACACUGAUCACAAAAAUGGUCACAAAACUGAUCAUUAUUUCUCCCCAUUUCCCCUUUCUGCUCCCUUGGCCAGCUCCACAGACAGCAUCCUUGGGUUGGUUUGAACUCCUUCCUCUUCUCAGCCACUCCUUUUCCUUGGGAGCCCUCACUGCCUGGAGGGACACAUUCAGCUCCCUGGCUACAAAUGCAGCAGGGGUGAUACUGGUCUGCCAAGCAAUGGAGGCUGUGAGCAAGGAGCCAACAGCAACUCGUUAAUAAGGUUUGUUUUGUAAAAAUGCCCCUUUGAGCUAGCAGUUAAAAUGUUCUCUCUUCCCUUGACUUCUGCUGGAGUAAGCCAGUGACUUUCUGUAAUAAUUUUUAUCUGUGUGUCAAGAAUUUAACCUCGAAAGCAUAACUGGACUGCAUUAAUUAAGCUUUAUCUCAUCUCCAGCUGAACCGAUGGUCAACAAACAAACAGAGCUUUCUCAGGAUGGAGUUCCUGUGCAUUUAUGUGGUCCACAGCAGUUUCACCUCCCAGGCAGAAAGGUGUUCCCCAGUCACUUUGUGGUGCACUUUCUGGGAGUCAUGAAUCUCCUCCUCACAGCUUAUUUGUGUCACCCAUAAAAUAUCCCCAAGCCUCUUCUUCCAGGAAAUGUGGGGGCCAGAAGAGGUCCUUUUGGACUGUGCAGCAUCUUCCAAGCAUCCACAGGAUCUGGCACCUGGAGUAAAGGGCUCUCUUGCUUUUUACCCAUUGGUGCUAAUGAUGACUCUGCAAGCAACCCGGCUUGACCCUGAGAAUGCAGGUGGGGUUUGUAACAGUAGCACUUUAGAAGACCUUCCUUUUGACCUCCUGAUGAAAUCAGCCAUGGUCUCGCUGUGCACAGAGCAUCCCCUCUGAGCUGCAACGAACAAGCAGGAAUUUCUGAGACGGCACAAACUUGCAAACCCUUCCACAAGAUUAUCAAAUGACAGCAGGUUGAAAGUAUGCAGUGAGCAGCACGGAUUCACUGACUAAGCAUCCCUAAAGGGACUGGUGCUUAAUCCUUUCGUAGAUGGUGCCCUCUCACCCUGCUCUGAAGGAGGAGGAGGCACAUGUGCUCUAGAGAAAUGACAUAAUUGAGAGGAAGGUUGAUUUACUCCAUAUGAAAGUAAUAUGGAGUUUGCCUUCUCUGUCUAGAGAAGGUCAAUCAGGCAACUCUGCAUGGUCCUUGAUUUGUCCCCACUCCUCUCUUUUAGGAGGCCAGAGGGCUCCCCCUCAGCACAUGGCAGAACAAGCCUUUAUCAGCCACCUUUGCAAAUCCUUCCCUGGAAGAAUCACGGCAGUGAGAAUUAAGUUCCUGCGCACAGACAAGCCUAUUUCCCUCAGGAUUAGCAGCUCUGGAUGUCACAGCUCCACAGUAGGACAUGCAUGCAUCACCCUGGCAUCACCUGGAAUCUCCCUGGCAUCACCCUGGCAUCAACUCUGCAUCACCCCUGCUUCACCCUGGAAUUCCAGUGACUGCAGAUGACAGCAUUAUUUCCCUGGAUACUGGGAAUGUCCUUAGAGCUGAACAACUGUCAUCUGGUUUGGGAUACUGUGAAUUCCUGGCACUAAUGUCCUCUUCUGUCUCCUCCCUGCCCUACCUCACCCCUACCCCUGCCCCCUUGUUCUGUGGCAAAGGGGCCACAUAGCAGAGGAGGCACCAUACAGAUUUGUCUGGCAGGUUUGUAAUGAGAGGCAUGUGAUGACCCUGCACAUUCAUCAGAUGGUUGUUUUCAGCCUGGACCCAUCUGUGAUGUUUUCAUUAUUUUUUUUCCUCCCUCUGCUCAGGCCAGGCUGCUCCGGGAGAAGUGGCACGUAGGCACAUACGUCCUUGCGCACGCUACACUUGUAUAAACUCCAUCAGGAAGUCAUCUGGCCAAACUUCCCAGAGCUCUGCUUUUAACUCUUCCCUAGGCAGGCUGUACUGGCAGCCAGGGGAUUUCCAGGGAGCGUGGACAUGUGCAUUUGUGCCCCUGUUCUGUUUAUUGAUUCCCACCGCCCUCCUCCUGCCUACAAGCCCUGAUCACGUGGCUGUGCAGCUCUUGCACCCAUCCUGCUCCGAGUUCCCACCAGAAGGAAGUCUCCCUCAGCUGUGCACCCACAGGCACGCACAGGGCUUUGCAAUAGAACAGUGUCUUGGCUUUUCUGGAGGGUGAAGCAGCUAAAGCCAAAGUGCCAAAACGUGCCCAGAGCAGGACUGCCCCAGCAGAACAGAAGGAAAGAGUGUUGGUGGGGCACAGCUGUCAGCCAUUAGGGGUUAUUAUCCCUUGCAGUUAUUAUUUCAGAAGUGUGUCCUUACCAGGCACAUGAGUAACAAAGGAAGUUCUCACAGUCCUUAAAUGUUUGCUGUGGUCAGGGAGGGAUUAAAACAACCCAACCCCUUCAGAAGUGACCCUGUCUUCAAUGAAGACGUGUCUCACUGAGUGUCCCACUCUGUGGAGAGGCACGACUGCACACCCAUAGAGGCACGUCAGUGUGCAUAGAGACAUUUAAAGGACUGAGAAAAACCCUGGAGACUCCUCAGGUAGGGGAAAGGCUGCUAUUCCUCCCCAUGACGUGUGUGGAUUAGCAGUUACCCAUUUGUUAAAUGCAAAAUAACAGUCAUCCCGUGUUGUUAGAGCCUGUCAGCUGCCCACUGACAGAUUUCAAUGGCUCAUACACGAUUUAUCCCUGCAAGUGUUCAAGAAAUGACGUGGCACUUAGUGCUACAGUUUGGUUGACAAGGUGGUGAUCAGUCAAAGGUUGGACUUGACGAUCUUGCAGGUCUUUUCCAACCUUAAUGAUUCUAUUCUAUUUUGAAACUUACUGCACAGGGGUGAAUAACCAGAAUUUCUGGAAAUGUUAUCCUCUGCAAUCAGGUUUGGAGCAGGAAUGUCUGAGCUCAUUUGAUGUUUGGCCAAUGGUGUUGGACACUGUUUGCUUCUGCUUACUCUGGUAUGAGUAUAAAAUGUGUAUCAGAACACCAAUGGCAGUACUGUGUCUCUUGACAUACACUGUAAAUCAGCCCAGAAUGCAACCAUUUAUCCAUCAAGUUGUUCACAGACAUUUGUCCCUGGUUUACUGCAUAUUCAUCUUCUCCAGUGUUACAAAACCAUGACAUGGUAAAAUAGAUGUUACAGGUCUUCAUUUCUCUCCUGUGUGCACAGGCGAAAAUAAGAAGUGACUUCAUUAAAGUUAAUUCAGUUA